RNAcentral lists this ribosomal RNA (424 nucleotides) under uncultured marine bacterium. RNAcentral's name for it is "bacterial SSU rRNA". It matches the Rfam family "Bacterial small subunit ribosomal RNA", at positions 9 to 439 of the family's 1533-position model. The record is from RNAcentral.
GAGUUUGAUCAUGGCUCAGAUUGAACGCUGGCGGCAUGCUUUACACAUGCAAGUCGAACGGCAGCACGGGGUUUACCCUGGUGGCGAGUGGCGAACGGGUGAGGAAUACAUCGGAACGUGUCUAUAAGUGGGGGAUAACGCAUCGAAAGAUGUGCUAAUACCGCAUAAUCUCUCAGGAGAAAAGCAGGGGGAUCGCAAGACCUUGCGCUUUAGGAGCGGCCGAUGCCUGAUUAGCUUGUUGGUAAGGUAAAAGCUUACCAAGGCUUCGAUCAGUAGCUGGUCUGAGAGGACGACCAGCCACACUGGGACUGAGACACGGCCCAGACUCCUACGGGAGGCAGCAGGGGGGAUUUUGGACAAUGGGGAAACCCUGAUCCAGCCAUGCCGCGUGAGUGAGAAGGCCUUCGGUUGUAAGCUCUUCUAG